RNAcentral lists this ribosomal RNA (744 nucleotides) under Rheinheimera mesophila. RNAcentral describes it as "bacterial SSU rRNA". It matches the Rfam family "Bacterial small subunit ribosomal RNA", at positions 799 to 1533 of the family's 1533-position model. Lineage: Bacteria; Pseudomonadati; Pseudomonadota; Gammaproteobacteria; Chromatiales; Chromatiaceae. The record is from RNAcentral.
GCCGUAAACGAUGUCUACUAGCUGUUCGUGACCUUGUGUUGUGAGUAGCGCAGCUAACGCACUAAGUAGACCGCCUGGGGAGUACGGUCGCAAGAUUAAAACUCAAAUGAAUUGACGGGGGCCCGCACAAGCGGUGGAGCAUGUGGUUUAAUUCGACGCAACGCGAAGAACCUUACCUACUCUUGACAUCUACGGAAGACUGCAGAGAUGCGGUUGUGCCUUCGGGAACCGUAAGACAGGUGCUGCAUGGCUGUCGUCAGCUCGUGUUGUGAAAUGUUGGGUUAAGUCCCGCAACGAGCGCAACCCCUAUCCUUAGUUGCCAGCGAUUCGGUCGGGAACUCUAGGGAGACUGCCGGUGAUAAACCGGAGGAAGGUGGGGACGACGUCAAGUCAUCAUGGCCCUUACGAGUAGGGCUACACACGUGCUACAAUGGUACGUACAGAGGGAGGCAAGCUGGCGACAGUGAGCGGAUCUCUUAAAGCGUAUCGUAGUCCGGAUCGCAGUCUGCAACUCGACUGCGUGAAGUCGGAAUCGCUAGUAAUCGCAAAUCAGAAUGUUGCGGUGAAUACGUUCCCGGGCCUUGUACACACCGCCCGUCACACCAUGGGAGUGGGUUGCAAAAGAAGUAGGUAGCUUAACCGCAAGGAGGGCGCUUACCACUUUGUGAUUCAUGACUGGGGUGAAGUCGUAACAAGGUAACCCUAGGGGAACCUGGGGUUGGAUCACCUCCUUACCUAAAGCAG